CUUGCCUCAUAUAAGAGGUCCAGCCUGCCCAGUGACAUUGUUCAACGGCCGCGGUAUCCUAACCGUGCGAAGGUAGCGUAAUCACUUGUUCUUUAAAUGAGGACUAGUAUGAAAGGCAUCACGAGAGUCAUACUGUCUCCUUUCUCUAAUCAGUGAAACUAAUCCCCCCGUGAAGAAGCGGGGAUAAAAAUAUAAGACGAGAAGACCCUAUGGAGCUUUAAACAUAUGCUAUAUGCCCUUUUAGCUUCAAAUUUCAGAAAAAUCUCUUAUCUUGGUAUAAUAACUAAUAGUUUUUGGUUGGGGUGACCACGGAAUAAAAAACAACUUCCACAAUGAAAGAUUCUCCUUCACUAAGUUAAGGACUACAACCCUAUACAUCAAUAAAUUGACAUAAUUGACCCAACAUAUUGAUCAAUGAAC
RNAcentral lists this ribosomal RNA (420 nucleotides) under Adenomera hylaedactyla group sp. ABGD cluster 17. RNAcentral describes it as "partial large subunit ribosomal RNA". It matches the Rfam family "Bacterial large subunit ribosomal RNA", at positions 1835 to 2358 of the family's 2925-position model. Lineage: Eukaryota; Metazoa; Chordata; Amphibia; Anura; Leptodactylidae. The record is from RNAcentral.